Molecule: transfer RNA, 76 nt
Filed under: Frigoribacterium sp. SL97
Lineage: Bacteria; Bacillati; Actinomycetota; Actinomycetes; Micrococcales; Microbacteriaceae
Description: tRNA-Thr
Rfam family: tRNA
About the family: Transfer RNA (tRNA) molecules are approximately 80 nucleotides in length. Their secondary structure includes four short double-helical elements and three loops (D, anti-codon, and T loops). Further hydrogen bonds mediate the characteristic L-shaped molecular structure. tRNAs have two regions of fundamental functional importance: the anti-codon, which is responsible for specific mRNA codon recognition, and the 3' end, to which the tRNAs corresponding amino acid is attached (by aminoacyl-tRNA synthetases). tRNAs cope with the degeneracy of the genetic code in two manners: having more than one tRNA (with a specific anti-codon) for a particular amino acid; and 'wobble' base-pairing, i.e. permitting non-standard base-pairing at the 3rd anti-codon position.
Source: RNAcentral
GCCUCGAUAGCUCAGCAGGCAGAGCGCCCGUUUCGUAAUCGGGAGGUCGCCGGAUCGAUUCCGGCUCGAGGCUCCA